This is a long non-coding RNA of Portunus trituberculatus (swimming crab), 332 nucleotides long. RefSeq lists it as uncharacterized. The record is from RefSeq and is a predicted model, not a curated record. Lineage: Eukaryota; Metazoa; Arthropoda; Malacostraca; Decapoda; Portunidae. The transcript has 2 exons.
GUGCCAAUCACGUAUGCACUCUGGUACAAAGCCUGCAGGUACUUCCUUUCACACACUAGCGAGAACUGUGGACCAACAACAGCAAGAUAAAUCAGGUUAAAUGAAAUGUUCCCGGCAGGCAGGAGACGCCCCUCACUGACCUCCGAGGUGAGAGUGUUGCUGAAGACGGAGGUAUCGAAGUCCCACUCAGUGCACUCUUCCUCCACCUCUGCCCUGGCCUCCGUCAUCCUCGUGUAACUGCAGGAGUCUCUGGUUGUAGGGAAAUGUUUCUCAAUACAGUGGCAGAGGCAAACACGUGUAUUUCUUUAUGAAAUAAAAAGCUAUAACAGUCA